AAAAGGCGGAGGGAGCGCAUGUGGCCCAGGUCCACGCGGAACACGCCGCAAAUCUGCUCCAGGGCGCACACCCGCUGCGGCUCGUCCCAGCGUGGGGUCUGCAGGAGGCCGUUGCUGUCCGGGAACCGCAGGCCGGCGUCGGAGCUGGACGGGGGGCUGGUGGAACAGGUUAUGUGAUGAUCGCCACACUUCUCCCUGCCCACACUACCCAGAGGGGGACGGGGGUCAUGGGGGAGUCAUUUAAACCUACGCACCAAGCUUAAACACACAUACAGGCACGGCUGAAUAUGCCCUGUAAACACCUGUGAAUAAAUGAAUGUAUGAACCCCA
This is a long non-coding RNA of Homo sapiens (human), 330 nucleotides long. Lineage: Eukaryota; Metazoa; Chordata; Mammalia; Primates; Hominidae. The record is from Ensembl.